AUGAUCUGGUCGGGCGUUUUACUAAAGAACCCAUCCUCCUCCACCCGGACCAGACCCGGCCCUUCGUCGUGGAGGUGGACGCCUCACGCCUCUGAUGUGGGAGCGGGGGCCGUUCUCUCGCAACGGGGUCCAGACUCUAAGCUUCACCCAUGUGCCUACUUCUCCCGGAAGUUUUCCCCCACACAGCAGAACUACGGGGUCGGCGACAGAGAACUGCUGGCUAUAAAAUGGGCUCCUGAGAAAUGGAGGCAGUGGCUCUUGGGGACCAACGAUCCUUUUCUGAUCUGGACCGACCACCAGAAUCUCAUUCAUCUACAGAAAGCCCGCCAACUCAACCCUCGUCAAGCUCGGUGGGCCCUCUUUUUCGAGCCGUACAACUUUCAUAUCGCCUACCGGCCCGGCUUCAAGAACCUCAAGGCGGACGCUCUCUCUCGGCGUUUCGUGCCAGAGUCAAGCCCCCCCGGAGCCUCGGACCAUUCUGCCGACUCAACGCUUCCUGGCCUUCCCCCCAAUGGCCGUUGGAGCAGUCCAUACAGGCCACACUUUCUGGCGAUCCGGCGCAGCCGGAGACUCCACCGAACCGUCUCUACGUUCCCGCCUCCUGCCGACAAGAGGCACUCACGCGGGGGCAUUGUUCACGGCUCGCGGGGACAUCAAGCACAAGCCCGUACCCUCCAGUUCCUCUGUCGGGCUCUCUGGUGGCCGUCCAUGAGGAAGGACGUCCGCAAGUUCACUGGUGCAUAUGAUGUGUCUGCUCGCUCCAAGUCCUCCAACCGACCAGGCGCUGGAGAGUUACAGCCUCUCCCUGUGCCCAAGCGGCCGUGGUCACACAUCGGGCUGGACUUUGUCACGGGACUGCCGGCUGUUGACCACCUGGACACCAUAUUGACAAUCACGGACCGUUUCUCCAAGGCCGUGCACUUAGUGGCCCUGGCCGGCCUCCCCACUGCCAAGAGAACGGCCAAACUGCUCCUAGAACAGGUGGUGCAGCUCCAUGGUUUCCCUCAGGACGUGGUUUCCGACCGAGGACCCCAGUUCGUCUCAUGCUUCUGGAAAGCAUUCUGUCGCCUGGUCGGUGCUUCCACCAGCCUGUCCUCUGGGCACCAUCCGCAGACGAACGGUCAGACGGAGAGAGCUAACCAGCAGCUUUGA
Molecule: long non-coding RNA, 1152 nt
Filed under: Nothobranchius furzeri (turquoise killifish)
Lineage: Eukaryota; Metazoa; Chordata; Actinopteri; Cyprinodontiformes; Nothobranchiidae
Description: lncRNA (ENSNFUG00015011131.1)
Source: RNAcentral